ACGAAGUCUUCGGACUGAGUGGCGGACGGGUGAGUAACACGUGAGAACCUGCCUUAAGGUCGGGGAUAACAGUUGGAAACGACUGCUAAUACCGGAUGUGCCUACGGGUGAAAGAUUUAUUGCCUAAAGAUGGGCUCGCGUCUGAUUAGCUAGUUGGAGUGGUAAUGGCACACCAAGGCGACGAUCAGUAGCUGGUCUGAGAGGAUGAUCAGCCACACUGGGACUGAGACACGGCCCAGACUCCUACGGGAGGCAGCAGUGGGGAAUUUUCCGCAAUGGGCGAAAGCCUGACGGAGCAAGACCGCGUGAGGGAGGAAGGCUCUUGGGUUGUAAACCUCUUUUGUCAGGGAAGAACACAAUGACGGUACCUGACGAAUCAGCAUCGGCUAACUCCGUGCCAGCAGCCGCGGUAAUACGGAGGAUGCAAGCGUUAUCCGGAAUUAUUGGGCGUAAAGCGUCCGCAGGUGGUUGUACAAGUCUGCUGUCAAAGCGCGGAGCUUAACUCCGUAAAGGCGGUGGAAACUGUGCGACUAGAGUUCGGUAGGGGUCGCGGGAAUUCCCAGUGUAGCGGUGAAAUGCGUAGAUAUUGGGAAGAACACCGGUGGCGAAAGCGCGCGACUGGACCGAGACUGACACUCAUGGACGAAAGCUAGGGGAGCGAAAGGGAUUAGGUACCCCUGUAGUC
This 685-nucleotide ribosomal RNA is filed under the name uncultured cyanobacterium. Its description in RNAcentral is "bacterial SSU rRNA". It matches the Rfam family "Bacterial small subunit ribosomal RNA", at positions 66 to 795 of the family's 1533-position model. The record is from RNAcentral. Lineage: Bacteria; Bacillati; Cyanobacteriota.